GUCUGGUCCAAAGGUAGUAAGUUAUCUUAAUUGAUUGUUCACAGUUAUAGACUGAACUCUCUGUUCUACUCUCUCCUCUCAUCUCACUACUGCACUUGACUGAUCUAAA
This 109-nucleotide Y RNA is filed under the name Carlito syrichta (Philippine tarsier). Its description in RNAcentral is "Y RNA (ENSTSYG00000033908.1)". It matches the Rfam family "Y RNA". Rfam says of the family: Y RNAs are components of the Ro ribonucleoprotein particle (Ro RNP), in association with Ro60 and La proteins. The Y RNAs and Ro60 and La proteins are well conserved, but the function of the Ro RNP is not known. Lineage: Eukaryota; Metazoa; Chordata; Mammalia; Primates; Tarsiidae. The record is from Rfam by way of RNAcentral.